This 439-nucleotide ribosomal RNA is filed under the name uncultured bacterium. RNAcentral describes it as "partial 16S ribosomal RNA". It matches the Rfam family "Bacterial small subunit ribosomal RNA", at positions 339 to 795 of the family's 1533-position model. The record is from RNAcentral.
CUACGGGUUGCUGCAGUGAGGAAUAUUGCACAAUGGGGGGAACCCUGAUGCAGCAACGCCGCGUGGAGGAUGACGCAUUUCGGUGUGUAAACUCCUUUUAUAUGUCAAGGAAAUGACGGUAGCAUAUGAAUAAGCACCGGCUAACUCCGUGCCAGCAGCCGCGGUAAUACGGAGGGUGCAAGCGUUACUCGGAAUCACUGGGCGUAAAGGACGCGUAGGCGGGUUGGAAAGUCAGGUGUGAAAUCCUACAGCUUAACUGUAGAACUGCACUUGAAACUUCUAAUCUAGAGUAUGGGAGGGGGAGAUGGAAUUAGUGGUGUAGGGGUAAAAUCCGUAGAUAUCACUAGGAAUACCUAAAGCGAAGGCGAUCUCCUGGAACAUUACUGACGCUAAGGCGUGAAAGCGUGGGGGGCAAACAGGAUUAGAUACCCCUGUAGUC